GAUGCCAGAACCAAGAGAUCCGUUGUGGAAAGUUUUAACUAUUAUAUAGUACUCAGA
RNAcentral lists this ribosomal RNA (57 nucleotides) under uncultured fungus. RNAcentral's name for it is "partial 18S ribosomal RNA". Lineage: Eukaryota; Fungi. The record is from RNAcentral.